AAGUUUAUCUCAAUCGUCUUUUCCAGAGAAAUGUUCAGAGGAUGUCUGAUAUAAAUUAAUUGAUUGAACAACUAAAUGAACUAAUUGUCUGUUAUAGAAAUAAAUGUGUCCGGUCGUUUGAGCUUCAUGGUAAUAUUUAUUUGUCGAAAAUUGUUGAAAUAUUGUUGAAAUGGAUGAUUAUUUUUCCUAAAAUACUCGUCUACAUUUGUUAAAAAGUAAUUUAACUUUUCAGUGUACAUGUUUUCUAACCGCUUAAAUAUAAAUGAACUGGCUAAACGUAAACAAAAUGUCAAAUAGUCAGUAAAUAACCAUCGUAAUUGAAAUACAAAUGAAUAUGUAAUUCUAAA
Molecule: long non-coding RNA, 347 nt
Organism: Eurytemora carolleeae
Lineage: Eukaryota; Metazoa; Arthropoda; Copepoda; Calanoida; Temoridae
Exons: 2
Source: RefSeq, a predicted model, not a curated record